GUCCACGCCGUAAACGAUGAGUGCUAGGUGUUGGCCAGAGAUGGUCGGUGCCGCAGCAAACGCAAUAAGCACUCCACCUGGGGAGUACGACCGCAAGGUUGAAACUCAAAGGAAUUGACGGGGACCCGCACAAGCGGUGGAUGAUGUGGUUUAAUUCGAUGCAACGCGAAAAACCUUACCUACCCUUGACAUGUCAAGAAUUUUGCAGAGAUGUGAAAGUGCUCGAAAGAGAACUUGAACACAGGUGCUGCAUGGCCGUCGU
Molecule: ribosomal RNA, 262 nt
Filed under: uncultured bacterium
Lineage: Bacteria
Description: partial 16S ribosomal RNA
Rfam family: Bacterial small subunit ribosomal RNA
Source: RNAcentral